RNAcentral lists this ribosomal RNA (258 nucleotides) under Phaeomonas parva. Its description in RNAcentral is "partial Bacterial large subunit ribosomal RNA". It matches the Rfam family "Bacterial large subunit ribosomal RNA", at positions 2084 to 2342 of the family's 2925-position model. Lineage: Eukaryota; Pinguiophyceae; Pinguiochrysidales; Pinguiochrysidaceae. The record is from RNAcentral.
AAAGACCCCGGGACCUUCACUAUAGCUUGGUAUUGGCAUUCGGUGCGGUUUGUGUAGGAUAGGUGGGAGACUUUGAGGCAUGCACGCCAGUGUGUGUGGAGUCGUUGUUGAAAUACCACUCUGAUCGGAUUGGAUAUCUAACCUUGGCCCAUGAUCUGGGUUGGGGACAGUGCCUGGUGGGUAGUUUAACUGGGGCGGUUGCCUCCCAAAAUGUAACGGAGGCGCCCAAAGGUUCCCUCAGCCUGGUUGGCAAUCAGG